Molecule: ribosomal RNA, 253 nt
Filed under: uncultured bacterium
Lineage: Bacteria
Description: partial 16S ribosomal RNA
Rfam family: Bacterial small subunit ribosomal RNA
Source: RNAcentral
UACGAAGGGUGCAAACGUUGCUCGGAAUUAUUGGGCGUAAAGCGCGCGUAGGCGGCCUUGCAAGUCGGAUGUGAAAUCUUAUGGCUUAACCAUAAAAGUGCAUCCGAAACUGCAGUGCUUGAGUACUUAAGAGGAUCGCGGAAUUCCCGGUGUAGAGGUGAAAUUCGUAGAUAUCGGGAGGAACACCAGUGGCGAAGGCGGCGAUCUGGGAAGAUACUGACGCUGAGGUGCGAAAGCGUGGGGAGCAAACAGG